Molecule: ribosomal RNA, 635 nt
Filed under: uncultured archaeon
Lineage: Archaea
Description: bacterial SSU rRNA
Rfam family: Archaeal small subunit ribosomal RNA
Source: RNAcentral
CGGCUCAGUAACACGUGGAUAACCUGCCCUUAGGACCGGGAUAACCCUGGGAAACUGGGGAUAAUACCCGAUAUGUGUAGAUUGCUGGAAUGCUUCUCCAUUUAAAGCUCCGGCGCCUAAGGAUGGAUCUGCGGCCUAUUAGGUAGUUGUGGGUGUAACGGACCUCCUAGCCUUUGAUCGGUACGGGUUGUGAGAGCAAGAGCCCGGAGAUGGAUUCUGAGACACGGUUCCAGGCCCUACGGGGUGCAGCAGGCGCGAAAACUUUACAAUGCUGGCAACCGCGAUGGGGGAACCUCAAGUGCCACUUUACACAGCUGGGUGUCUAUAUGCUGAAAAAACAUUUUAUAACAAGGGCUGGGCAAGACCGGUGCCAGCCGCCGCGGUAACACCGGCGGCUCGAGUGGUGACCGUUAUUAUUGGGUCUAAAGGGUCCGUAGCCGGCCUGAUAAGUCUCUGGAGAAAUCUCGCAGCUUAACUGUGAGGAUUGCAGGAGAUACUGUCUGGCUCGAGGUCGGGAGAGGUGAGAGGUACUUCCAGGGUAGGGGUGAAAUCUUGUAAUCCUUGAGAAACCACCUGUGGCGAAGGCGUCUCACUGAACCGAACCUGACGGGUGAGGACGAAAGCUGGGGGCACCA